GCCCAGACUCCUACGGGAGGCAACAGUGGGGGAUAUUGGACAAUGGGGGGAACCCUGAUCCAGCGACGCCGCGUGAGUGAAGAAGUAUCUCGGUAUGUAAAGCUCUAUCAGCAGGGAAGAAAGAAAUGACGGUACCUGAGUAAGAAGCCCCGGCUAACUACGUGCCAGCAGCCGCGGUAAUACGGAGGGGGCAAGCGUUAUCCGGAUUUAUUGGGUUUAAAGGGUGCGCAGGCGGAUUUUUAAGUCAGCGGUCAAAUCGUGGGGCUCACCCCCAUCCAGCCGUUGAAACUGGGGAUCUAGAGUGUGCGAGAGGUAUGCGGAAUGCGUGGUGUAGCGGUGAAAUGCAUAGAUAUCGCGCAGAACCCCGAUUGCGAAGGCAGCAUACCGGUGCACAACUGACGCUCAGGCACGAAAGCGUGGGUAUCGAACAGGAUUAGAUCCCCUUGUA
Molecule: ribosomal RNA, 448 nt
Filed under: uncultured bacterium
Lineage: Bacteria
Description: bacterial SSU rRNA
Rfam family: Bacterial small subunit ribosomal RNA
Source: RNAcentral